GUGGGGAAUCUUAGACAAUGGGGGAAACCCUGAUCUAGCCAUGCCGCGUGAGCGAUGAAGGCCUUAGGGUUGUAAAGCUCUUUCAGCUGGGAAGAUAAUGACGGUACCAGCAGAAGAAGCCCCGGCUAACUCCGUGCCAGCAGCCGCGGUAAUACGGAGGGGGCUAGCGUUGUUCGGAAUUACUGGGCGUAAAGCGCGCGUAGGCGGACCAGAAAGUUGGAGGUGAAAUCCCAGGGCUCAACCUUGGAACUGCCUUCAAAAAUCCUGGUCUGGAGUUCGAGAGAGGUGAGUGGAAUUCCGAGUGUAGAGGUGAAAUUCGUAGAUAUUCGGAGGAACACCAGUGGCGAAGGCGGCUCACUGGCUCGAUACUGACGCUGAGGUGCGAAAGCGUGGGGAGCAAACAGGAUUAGAAACCCGAGUAGUCC
Molecule: ribosomal RNA, 425 nt
Filed under: uncultured bacterium
Lineage: Bacteria
Description: partial 16S ribosomal RNA
Rfam family: Bacterial small subunit ribosomal RNA
Source: RNAcentral